GAGCCGCACGCGUGGACCGCCGCCGCCAUUGCCCGGCGAAUCGGUGCCGACGCGCCCACGACGCUGGGCUGAGCCAGCCCGGCCCACGUGCUGAGGCCCAUGAAGCCCACUAUCCCCACCGAUCUAUCUCCUCCUCGCCUCCGCCGCCGCUCCGUUUGGCCGCCAUUGCUGCCGCGGCCUCAAACCCUAACCCUCGCGACGCGACGCCACGGAUUUGUCUCCAUCUCUCACCAGUGGCCACAAUGGCGUCGCUGGCGCAGCCUUCGCGCCUCGUUCCACGUGGGGCGGCGCCUCUGAUCGAGGGGGCGUCUGCCCAAGGUGCGUACACCUCGUCGCCGAUGGAGAUCUGUGUGACAGUCUUACAAUGAAUAUCCGGUGGUGGAAUAAUUUUUCUGGAUCUGUGCGACAGUAAAGGGAACGAACUGACCUAGCUUUUGGUUUUCUCCUGUUAUUUGAGUAGAAGGGCAAUACCAACAAAAAAAAAGGAGGUCCCACCGGGAUUCGAACCCAGGUUGCCAGAUUCAAAGUCUGGAGUGCUAACCUCUACACUAUGGAACCAGAUGUUAAGGGCAACACCAACAAAAAAAAGGAGGUCCCACCGGGAUUUGAACCCAGGUUGCCAGAUUCAAAGUCUGGAGUGCUAACCUCUACACUAUGGAACCAGAUGUUGUAUGUGCUCCCUUCCAGUGUACAUUUCUGUCUUAUAUUCAUAAACUCAGUUAAAUGGAAAGACAUUGUCUUUAUCCUUUAUUAUCUGUUUGUUUCCAUCUGUUUGUUUUCUGUGAAACUGUGUUACCUUUUGAGCAUGCAUCCAAUUAGCAUACAUGCAGAAUAUGACAUUUGCUCAAAGUUCUAUUAAUUU
This is a long non-coding RNA of Oryza brachyantha (malo sina), 862 nucleotides long. RefSeq lists it as uncharacterized. The transcript is spliced from 4 exons. The record is from RefSeq and is a predicted model, not a curated record. Lineage: Eukaryota; Viridiplantae; Streptophyta; Magnoliopsida; Poales; Poaceae.